GAGAGAGAGAGAGAGAGAGAGAGAGAAGAAGAGAGAGGGAGAGAAAGGAAGAGAGAGAGAAGAAGACAGAGAGAGGAGUCGGGGAAGAAAGAGCAUUUCAGAAACACCCUGCUGUCAAAUAGAUGAAUAGCUGACAGACAAGCUAUUGUGGACUUGAACUAGCUGGUAGUAUAGUAAAGUAACUUUAACAGUAUAGUAACUGUAAUAGUAAAGUAAAUUUAACAGUAUAGUAACUGUAAUAGUAAAGUAACUUUAACAGUAUAGUAACUGUGGUAGUAAAGUAACUUUAACAGUAUAGUAACUGUAAUAGUAAAGUAACUUUAACAGUAUAGUAACUGAGGAGUAACUGUCCAGAAUGCAGAUAAUCCAUGUUAUCUCUUGCUGUCUCUCAGCUCUGUGUGUUGUGCAGCAGUCAGCUGGCAUUAAUGUGACGGGGGUCGUAAGAGGACAAAUCAAAAUCACCUGUUCUUAUUCAUGGGCAGAGGACAAUGACAAAUAUUUCUGUAAGGAAAGCUGCACCAAGAAUGAUAUUCUCAUUCAGAGCGAUGGUAAGCAAAAUUACCAAAAAAAAAGACAGAUUCUCCAUCCUGAACACAAUAAAUGGAGUUUUCACUGUGACCAUAACUAAACUGGAGAAGUCAGACUCUGGGAAAUACUGGUGUGGAGUGAAGAGAUUAUUGAAGGACACCUAUACUGAAGUUCAUCUCAAAGUUACAGACGCUCCUCCCACUUCUACAUCAUCACCUGUCACCUCCAGACCCCAUGUCUCCACAACCCUCCCAAACCUCUCUACAACAUCCUCUAACCUCUCCGCAACGUUUCUGGUAUCUGGAGAUAUCAGUGGUCACUCUUCAUCAAGAGCAGGUCUGAUGGUGUGGACCAGUGCUGGUCUGGUUGUCAUGGUGACAGUGUUAGGUCUGGUCCUGCUCCUAUUCUACAGACAGAGGAGAGGAACCAGGAGAACACCACCACCACCACCACCACCAGUCUCCUCCAACACACAACCUGACCCUACUGGAGAGGUUGACUGUGUGUAUGAGGAGAUCAGAGAGGCAGACAGACAGACAGACACACUCCCUUUGGUCAUUUCAUCAGUCUACUCUACUGUCAAUUCACCUACAACCUACCCUGCUGACCAAGCCUCUACAACCUACCCUGCUGACCAAGCCUCUACAACCUACCCUGCUGACCAAGCAUCUACAACCUACCCUGCUGGCCAAGCCUCUACAACCUACCCUGCUGGCCAAGCCUCUACAACCUACCCUACUGGCCAAGCCUCUACAACAUACUCUACUGUCAAUUCACCUACAACCUACCCUGCUGACCAAGCGGCAGGGUAGCCUAGUGGUUAGAGCAUUGGACUAGUAACCGAAAGGUUGCAAGUUCAAAUCCCCGAGCUGACAAGGUACAAAACCUGUCGUUCUGCCCUUGAACAGGCAGUUAACCCACUGUUCCUAGGCCGUCAUUGAAAAUAAGAAUUUGUUCUUAACUGACUUGCCUAGUAAAAUAAAGGUAAAAUUUAAAUUAAAAAAGCCUCUACAACCUACCCUGCUGGCCAAGCCUCUACAACCUACCCUGCUGGCCAAGCCUCUACAACCUGCCCUGCUGCCAAGCCUCUACAACCUGCCCUGCUGCCAAACCUCUACAACCUACCCUGCUGGCAAAGCUAUCGGUGUCCCACACUGUGACCUCUAUGCUAACGCUAGCUGCCA
RNA transcript from Oncorhynchus gorbuscha (pink salmon), 1712 nucleotides. It is a transcript of the gene named CMRF35-like molecule 1, with no coding region annotated. The transcript is spliced from 5 exons. NCBI's taxonomy places the organism in Eukaryota, Metazoa, Chordata, Actinopteri, Salmoniformes, Salmonidae. The record is from RefSeq and is a predicted model, not a curated record.